Molecule: ribosomal RNA, 530 nt
Filed under: Chionaspis americana
Lineage: Eukaryota; Metazoa; Arthropoda; Insecta; Hemiptera; Diaspididae
Description: eukaryotic LSU rRNA
Source: RNAcentral
AUCUGGGCGGCGGAAUUCAAGACGGCUGGCGAGUCUCGCGCUCGUUCGGCCGUUUGAUAUUUCCGUCGCCGUGUCAGACGUCGCGACCUGUUUGUCGUCGGUCCUUGCUCGGAGGAAUUGCGAUCGAGUUCGUUGCGGGCGCGUUUCGGCGUGCUUCGCGGCGAAGACGCGACUCUCUGGCUGACGACGGACAGUAAGCAACGGUGUCCGGCGCCGUGUCUCGCACUCGGCGUCGGUGCCGGUCAGCGACGAUUUCUUCGGGCCUCUUUCCGACCCGUCUUGAAACACGGACCAAGGAGUCUAACAUGCGCGCGAGUCGCGGGGUUUCGAGCGUACCACGGUGCGCUCGUUACUUCCGAAACCCGUACGUUGAAGGCGUAAUGAAAGUGAAUAGGGAAGAUGGCGUUCCGAGUCCACGUACCGUGAUCGAGUAUCGCGGCCGGACGUCCGCACUCCCGGGGCGUCUCAAUGGUUCGCCACGGAUGCGGACGAUCGUCUUUCGGGGCGGUCGUCGGUCUGUGGCGGUCCGA